UACGAAGGGGGCUAGCGUUGCUCGGAAUCACUGGGCGUAAAGCGCACGUAGGCGGCUUGUUAAGUCAGGGUGAAAUCCUGGAGCUCAACUCCAGAACUGCCUUUGAUACUGGCGAGCUUGAGUUCGGGAGAGGUGAGUGGAACUGCGAGUGUAGAGGUGAAAUUCGUAGAUAUUCGCAAGAACACCAGUGGCGAAGGCGGCUCACUGGCCCGAUACUGACGCUGAGGCAC
Molecule: ribosomal RNA, 230 nt
Filed under: uncultured bacterium
Lineage: Bacteria
Description: partial 16S ribosomal RNA
Rfam family: Bacterial small subunit ribosomal RNA
Source: RNAcentral